AAACCAGCACCUCAAGUGGUCAGGAGGUUUAUUGGGCCUAAAGCAUCCGUAGCCUGAUCUAUAAGUUUCCGGUUAAAUCCACUAGCUCAACUAGUGGGCUGCCGAAAAUACUGUAGAACUAGGGAGUGGGAGAGGUAGACGGUAUUCGGUAGGAAGGGGUAAAAUCCUUUGAUCUAUUGAGGACCACCUGUGGCGAAGGCGGUCUACCAGAACACGUUCGACGGUGAGGGAUGAAAGCUGGGGGAGCAAACCGGAUUAGAUACCCGAGUAGUCC
RNAcentral lists this ribosomal RNA (274 nucleotides) under uncultured bacterium. RNAcentral describes it as "partial 16S ribosomal RNA". It matches the Rfam family "Archaeal small subunit ribosomal RNA", at positions 473 to 747 of the family's 1478-position model. The record is from RNAcentral.